GAAAUAAAUUCUUUGGAUAAUAAGGUUUGUGUCUGGGAUGCAUGUAGAGGCUUGGAGUUAAAGGUGAACAAUCUGAUAUCAUCCUUAACGGGAAUAUUGGAGCAGCAAAAUUCUGCAGUCAGAGAGACAUGAUACCAGGUCAAGAAGGUGAUGAGAAUUUUUGCAGAAAUCAGCCAAAUGUAGGCUGUCUUGGAAUUUUCUUAUGGAGAAAAUCACAGGAACAGAGCUCCUUUAAUAAAGUCAAUUGAACAUCUGCUUGAAAUUCUAGAUAAAAAACAAGUUCAGCUACAAACAAUACUGAAAAGUAAAUACGUGGUGUAUUUCAUUGAACAAAUGAAAGGUUGACAAAAUAAAUUAAAUGUGGCAGAUUCUGUCAUUUCCAUUUGGAUGGAAGUUCAAUGCACGUGGGCUCAUCUAGAAAGUAUUUUCAUUUUCUCUGAUGAUAUCAGAAGCCAUUUGCCUGAAGAUGUACACAGACUUGAUGAAAUCAAUACGGGCUUCAGAACUUCCUCUUUGGGAAAAAUCCCUGGGUGGAUAUUUAGAAACCAAGCACAUAAUGUUUCCUCACUUAUAUUUUGUUUCUUCAACAGACUUGCUAGCUAUUCUUCCAAUAGGAACACAGCCAGAACAGACCAUGAAUACUGAAUCAGUAAAAUAUUGCAAAUUUCAUCUGAAGUCUUCUGUAAAUUCACUGAGGGAGUAG
This 703-nucleotide long non-coding RNA is filed under the name Anas platyrhynchos platyrhynchos (common mallard). RNAcentral's name for it is "lncRNA (ENSAPLG00000025067.1)". The record is from RNAcentral. Lineage: Eukaryota; Metazoa; Chordata; Aves; Anseriformes; Anatidae.